Molecule: transfer RNA, 28 nt
Filed under: Moraea flexicaulis
Lineage: Eukaryota; Viridiplantae; Streptophyta; Magnoliopsida; Asparagales; Iridaceae
Description: partial tRNA-Phe
Source: RNAcentral
AAAAGGUCGGGAUAGCUCAGUGGAGAGC